CCUACGGGAGGCAGCAGUGGGGAAUAUUGCACAAUGGGCGCAAGCCUGAUGCAGCAACGCCGCGUGAGGGAUGAAGGCCUUCGGGUUGUAAACCUCUUUUAGCAGGGAAGAAGCGAAAGUGACGGUACCUGCAGAAAAAGCACCGGCUAACUACGUGCCAGCAGCCGCGGUAAUACGUAGGGUGCAAGCGUUGUCCGGAAUUAUUGGGCGUAAAGAGCUCGUAGGCGGUUUGUCACGUCUGCUGUGAAAAUCCAAGGCCCAACCUUGGACUUGCAGUGGGUACGGGCAGGCUAGAGUGCGGUAGGGGAGAUGGGAAUUCCUGGUGUAGCGGUGGAAUGCGCAGAUAUCAGGAGGAACACCAAUGGCGAAGGCACAUCUCUGGGCCGUAACUGACGCUGAGGAGCGAAAGCGUGGGGAGCAAACAGGAUUAGAUACCCUGGUAGUCCACGCCGUAAACGGUGGGUGCUAGCUGUGGGUCACAUUCCACGUGAUCCGUAACGAAGUUAACACAUUAAGCACCCCGCCUGGGGAGUACGGCCGCAAGGCUAAAACUCAAAGGAAUUGACGG
Molecule: ribosomal RNA, 568 nt
Filed under: uncultured Actinomycetes bacterium
Lineage: Bacteria; Bacillati; Actinomycetota; Actinomycetes
Description: bacterial SSU rRNA
Rfam family: Bacterial small subunit ribosomal RNA
Source: RNAcentral